RNAcentral lists this ribosomal RNA (502 nucleotides) under uncultured bacterium. RNAcentral's name for it is "bacterial SSU rRNA". It matches the Rfam family "Bacterial small subunit ribosomal RNA", at positions 338 to 848 of the family's 1533-position model. The record is from RNAcentral.
CCUACGGGAGGCAGCAGUGGGGAAUAUUGCACAAUGGGCGAAAGCCUGAUGCAGCAACGCCGCGUGAGGGACGACGGCCUUCGGGUUGUAAACCUCUUUUAGUAGGGAAGAAGCGAAAGUGACGGUACCUGCAGAAAAAGCACCGGCUAACUACGUGCCAGCAGCCGCGGUAAUACGUAGGGUGCAAGCGUUAUCCGGAAUUAUUGGGCGUAAAGAGCUCGUAGGCGGUUUGUCACGUCUGCUGUGAAAACCUGGAGGCUCAACCUCCAGCCUGCAGUGGGUACGGGCAGACUAGAGUGCGGUAGGGGAGAUUGGAAUUCCUGGUGUAGCGGUGGAAUGCGCAGAUAUCAGGAGGAACACCGAUGGCGAAAGGCAGAUCUCUGGGCCGUAACUGACGCUGAGGAGCGAAAGCAUGGGGANCGAACAGGAUUAGAUACCCUGGUAGUCCAUGCGUAACGUACGGUACGUAGAUAGUAGGUACGACUACUACGCGUCUGUGUCG